RNAcentral lists this ribosomal RNA (491 nucleotides) under uncultured bacterium. RNAcentral describes it as "bacterial SSU rRNA". It matches the Rfam family "Bacterial small subunit ribosomal RNA", at positions 29 to 544 of the family's 1533-position model. The record is from RNAcentral.
AUUGAACGCUGGCGGCAUGCCUUACACAUGCAAGUCGAACGGCAGCGGGCCUUCGGGUGCCGGCGAGUGGCGAACGGGUGAGUAAUGCAUCGGAACGUGCCAUUGAGUGGGGGGAUAACGUAGCGAAAGUUACGCUAAUACCGCAUAUUCUGUGAGCAGGAAAGCAGGGGGACCGCAAGGCCUUGCGCUCUUUGAGCGGCCGAUGUCAGAUUAGCUAGUUGGUGAGGUAAAGGCUUACCAAGGCGACGAUCUGUAGCGGGUCUGAGAGGAUGAUCCGCCACACUGGAACUGAGACACGGUCCAGACUCCUACGGGAGGCAGCAGUGGGGAAUUUUGGACAAUGGGCGCAAGCCUGAUCCAGCCAUGCCGCGUGAGUGAAGAAGGCCUUCGGGUUGGUUAAAGCUCUUUCGGUCCGGGAACGGAAAGUACGACGAUGGGUUAAGUACCCGUAGUGUGGGUAUAGGUACGGUAACCCGGGGUAAACGUUAAAA